ACCUGACUGGCUCAAUUGGUAGAGCAUCCAAUUCUUGAUCUUGGGGCGUGAGUUCAAGUCCCAUGUUGGGUG
Molecule: transfer RNA, 72 nt
Filed under: Canis lupus familiaris (dog)
Lineage: Eukaryota; Metazoa; Chordata; Mammalia; Carnivora; Canidae
Rfam family: tRNA
About the family: Transfer RNA (tRNA) molecules are approximately 80 nucleotides in length. Their secondary structure includes four short double-helical elements and three loops (D, anti-codon, and T loops). Further hydrogen bonds mediate the characteristic L-shaped molecular structure. tRNAs have two regions of fundamental functional importance: the anti-codon, which is responsible for specific mRNA codon recognition, and the 3' end, to which the tRNAs corresponding amino acid is attached (by aminoacyl-tRNA synthetases). tRNAs cope with the degeneracy of the genetic code in two manners: having more than one tRNA (with a specific anti-codon) for a particular amino acid; and 'wobble' base-pairing, i.e. permitting non-standard base-pairing at the 3rd anti-codon position.
Source: Rfam by way of RNAcentral